CCAUCACUUCUUCUCUAUCUCUUCGUUUAUCUAUCAAUCUAUCUAUCCAUCUCUUCCCUAUCUCUCCCCUUAUCUAUCAAUUUAUCUCUCUAUCUCUCUAUUUAUCUCUCUCUCUGACUAUCUAUCUGUCUAUCUGUCUAGACAUCUAUAUCUUUAUCUCUGUUUCUCUCUCUCUCUCAAUCUCUAUACUGAUGACCUUCGCCAUCACCCCCACCACCACCUCCACCACAAUCGGCUACACUUACCCUCCUCCCCAUCUUCUUUUCCAUCCGAAUUCCAAUAGACAGAUGAAUAAAUGGAUGGAUGGAUGGAUGAUCGGAUGGAAUUUCUCCGUAAACACCAUAUUUAUUCACACACACACAUAUGUAUGUGUGUGUAUGUAUAUAUACAUAUAUAUAUACAUAUGUGUGUGUGUGUAUAUAUAUAUAUAUAUAUAUAUAUAUAUAUAUAUAUAUAUGGGCGUCUGUAUUCAUUUGGUUUCCUGCAUAUUUUCCUUCUCCGACCCCCAAAUCCCCUCCUAAACCAAGAUGGAAUCAAUCAGUGCAUGUUGGAACUGUUUUAUAUUUAUCACACACAAAAUGUAAAACAAAAUUAUUGUCAGUGAUAAAAGAUAAAAAAAAAAAAUUGCCUGUAUAAACGUAUCAAGAUAUAUUAAACAUUACACAUAUUUGCAAACUAUUCACACACACACACACAUACAUACACAUAUACACACACAGAUAUAUCAAUAAUAUAUCACUCAUAUAUACAUCUAUAACUGUGUAACCUUUGAUGGUAGCUAAUAGGUUCAGGCAUAGCUGUGUGGUUAAAAGUAUGCUUCCCAGCCACAUGGUUCUGGGUUCAAUCCCACUGUGUGGUAUCUUAGCUUGUUCAGCUUGAGCCUAUAGUAAAAGCCAUUCAUAAAAGAAUUAUUUCUUUUAUGAAUAGAAAAAGAUAAAACUCAAACAUAGUCCUGUAUUUAAUGAAGCACACACACACAUACAAAUAUUCUUUAGUGUGGCUGUGUGGUAAGAAUUUUACUUUCCAGCUACAUGGUUCUGGGUUCAGUCCCACUGUGUGGCAUGUUGGGCAAAUGCCUUCCACUUUAGUCUCGGGUCUACUGAAAUCUUGUAAGUGGAUUUGGUUGACAGAAACUGAAAGAAGCUCAUUGUAUGUAUGUGUGUGCAUGCGUGUGUGUGUGUGUGUUUGUCCCCUGCAAUCGCUUGACAACCGGUAUUGGUAUGUUUAUGUCCCUGUAACUUAGUGGUUCAGCAAAAAAGCCUGAUAGAGUAAAUACCAGGCUUAAAAAAAAUAAGCACCUAGGUUAAUUCCUUUGACUAAACUCCUUCAAGGUGGUGCCCCAGCAUGGCCACAGCUUAAUGACUGAAACAAGUAAAAAAAACAAAAAACACACGUAUAUAUGUGCAUGUGCAUUCCUUGGAUUUUCUUAAUCUCAUCCGUAUUGGAUCCGCCAUUACCAUCCAUAUCCAAGGCUGAUGGCAUGACCUUUAGUUUCAUAGUAUUAUCCUAAAUGCCAAAACUGCAAAUUCCUUUUGUCAGGAAAUCUGACGAAAGGGAAACUCCCAGCUCUUUCCCUUUGCACUGUGUCACCUCGUUUUGUACCUUUCCUUACGAAUACACACAUACCCAGACAAACACUGACACACACACACAUUCUUGCAUUAGGAGACACAACCUAUUUCCAUUAUGGAGUCCCAAUCAACCGUUCAUCUCGUUACUGUACAAACAUUAGUAUCAAAGACUCCAGUUACUGUUGUUGUACUUAUUGCACUAACUCAGGCCCUGGUAUUUUCAUUAAUCUAAUUGCAGUCAAACGAACACUGCACUCUAAUAAGUUUAUUGUUAUCACUAUUAUUAUUGUUGUUAUUGUAGUUGUUGUUGCUAACAAUGACAGUGAGCUGGCAGAAUCAUUAGAACAUGAGAAAAAUGCAUCACAGAAUAAAGGAUGGCACUCUUCUGCAGGUCAUCAUGCAUAUCUCUGUUCCAAUAUCCUUUAGUCUCUUAGACAGCAUUUAGAGGAUUGUGCCAAAAUAUCUUGCUUCUUUUAUCUUUUACUUGUUUUAGUCAUUUGACUGCGGCCAUGCUGGAGCCCCGCCUUUAGUCGAGCAAAUCGACCCCCGGGAUUUAUUCUUUGUAAGCCCAGUGCUUAUUCUAUCGGUCUCUUUUGCCGUACUGCUAAGUGACGGGGACGUAAACACACCAGCAUCGGUUGUCAAGCAAUGCUAGGGGGACAAACACAGACACACAAACAUAUACACACACAUACACAUAUAUAUGACAGGCUUCUUUCAGUUUCCAUCUACCAAAUCCACUCACAAGGCAUUGGUCGGCCCGAGGCUAUAGCAGAAGACACUUGCCCAAGAUGCCACGCAGUGGGACUGAACCUGGAACCAUGUGGUUGGUAAGCAAGCUACUUACCACACAGCCACUCCUGCGCCUAAAUACCACCAAAAUAAUUAUCAUCUUUGGCUUCUGAAAUUUCUCCAUUUCUUCAUUUCUCUUGUUAGGUCCCGCUAUUUCUCAGUUUUUCUCAAUUUUAAGGGAGUGAGGCUGGCAGAAUCGUUAGCACCCCAGGUGAAGUACUUAGCGGUAUUUCGCAUGUCUUUAUGCUCUGAGUUCAAAUUCCGCCGAGGUUGACUUUGCCUUUCUUCCUUUCAGGAUCGAUAAAUUAAGUCCUGGUUGCAUUCUGGGAUCAAUCUAAUCGACUGGCCCCCUCCUCCCCCAAAAUUUCAGGCCUUGUGCCUAGAGUAGAAAAGAUUAUAUUAUUGUUUCAAGGCAGCAAACUGGCAGAAACGUUAGCAUGCCGGGCGAAAUGCUUAGCGGUAUUUUGUCUGUCUUUACAUUCUGAGUUCAAAUUCUGCUGAAGCUGACUUUGCCUUUCAUACUUUCAGGGUUGACAAAACAAGUACCAGUUGAGUGCUGGGGUUUAUGUAAUCGACUUAUCCCCUCUUGUGAAAUUGCUGGCUGUGUGCCAAAGUUCUUCUUCUUCUUCUUCUUCUUCUUCUUCUUCUUCUUCUUAUCAUCAUCAUCAUCAUCAUCAUCAUCAUCAUCAUCAUCAUCAUUAUUAUUAGUAGUAGUAGUAGUAGUAUUGUGUGGUGGUGGUGGUGAGCUGGCAGAGUUAGUACUGGAUAAAGUGCUAAACAGCAGCACUUCUGGCUUUUUUGGGUUCAGAUUCCAUUUUGUAAACUUUACUUUUAAUCCUCUUGGGGUCAAUGAUAUAAGCACCGGUUGAGCACCAGGGUCAACGUAAACGACUUAUCUCCUCCCUUGAACUUGCUGGCCUGGUGCCAAAAUUUGAAUCAUCAUCAUCAUCAUACUUUAAGAGAAAGCAGCUACAACCAUGAGCAUUUAUGGACUCUGCUCCAGACUGGUCGCUAAGUUGAUGUAUUUUGAUAUUCAUGUUCAACUGUUGCAAGGUGAUGACUGCAUUAAAAACCAUGAGGAAAUUAGGGAAGAGAUUUCAGUGGGAUCAAGUUUUGAAGAGGAAGGAUUGGGUGAAAAAAAAUGCACAAAAUGCGACAUGGUGCAAUGAUUAAGGGGACGCAAUAUGGGCUGUGAAACAAUAGAUAGAUGACCAUUGUGCCAUGUGGCCUUGUCACGUAAAAAAAUCCUGUGUUUGCAUUAUCUUAACAACAUCAAAAUUAGAAAUAUGACAGUCUUGAUUAAUGUGGAAGUGUUCAAUAAGUUCCUUAUCAGAAUGAUUGAUAAUUAAUUCUGAGAAAAUAUUGCAUGAGAGGAAGUGAUGUGAAUUUAUUUGAAGAUCAAAUGCUCCUGGCAACCACCUGCUGUUUCACACGUAAAUUACAUCAAUGGUUGUACUAAUGGAAACUUAUGUUUGGUAGUACACUAACACAAUUACAUGCAAUACUAUUGCUGGAGUUAAUUAAACAAUUUAUAUAACUUUUGGGAAUAGCUAACUUAAUUAGGUUUUGUUUUCUUUUUUUAAUUAAGGAAUUGAAUUUUGUUGCAGUUAAAGGAAAAAAUGAAUGUUUUCUUUUUCGGUAUUCAGUUUAUUUAAAACUAACUUUAUCUAUAAAGAAUGUCUUUCAUUAAAUAUUCAGUUUACAGUCAUAAAAAAGUGAAAGUAAAUUUUCUUAAAAAAAUUGAAAGUAAAUUGCAGUAGAAACUGGAAGUGACAUUCUGUUAUCUUACAAUAAUAUAUGAGAUACUUGUGGAUGUAGCACAAUGAGGGAGUUCUUUAUGUUCUUAUCAGGAAAUUUUGGGUCGUCACUACCAGUUUCUAUAGCAAUUUACUUUCAUGUUCUCUAGGACAAUUUACUUUCACUAUUUUAUUACCAUAAACUGCAUGUUAACCCAUUCUUCUUUCUCUCAGUGGUUUUGGGGUUAAAUGAAAUACAAAUAUGAAUGUAACUAUUAACCCUCUCUUGGGGUUGUUAAUUUCCGUGAUAGCGAUAUUGCCAAUGUAUAUAAUAUGAACAAACAGUUGAAUUAGGCCACAUGUUCAUUCAAGGUUUAUAUUUUCUUUUCCACUUUGUAUAUUAUAGCUUCUUCCUCUUAGUUUGUUUUCCCUUCUCCUUUUCUGUAUUAAUGAGAUCAACUUAUAACUUGCUUUUAUUAGCAAGUGGUUAGUUUUGUAAAUAAAUUGAAUAAUAACAAGUCAAUUAGAAAGUAAUUAAUACUGCAGUGUAAGCAGUUAGUUUACCUGAUAUUUAAUAUUAUAAUUAACCAAACUGAAAAUUCCUGCAAGUAAUUUGAGUAAAGCUUAGCUUUGUUAAAUUAAAAUUUAAUCCAUUCAUUUCCUAUUUUCAUAAUUAAUUACACACACAGACACACACACAAAUGUAGGUAUUAAUGUGAGAGAUCAAAUAGGGGACACUAAAAUAGUCUCACAUUUCACAGGGUGACAGAUGUUUUAUAAGCAGAUAUGUUUGCUUUUAAAAUUGAAAAUUUUAUUUGAAAAACAUCCAUUUUUCAGAAAGAAAGUGGGUGGAGGUACGCUUCUGUAGUUAUACAGGAAAUUUUUGUCCUUAUAAUAGAAACAUUCUCAAAAAAAAAAAAAGUGGUUUUAAAAGGCUUUCUGUUAAAACGUUUCCUUUAAUUAAAAGAUACAAUUAUUUUGCUGCCCUUUUGUCUACUGUGAGUAGACAAAAAUAUAAUUGGCAUUAGUGAGCCAAAGUUUUUUUUGACUAACAAGCAAACACACACACACACAUACAUAUACAUAUGUGCACAUACACACACAUACACAUACAGAAACACACGGAGACAUGCAUACACACAAUCACACACACUUUUUGAGCUCCUCUUGUAUAACUACGUGGUUUGAAUGACUUAAAGCUGUGGUUCCCAACCUGGGGUCCGUGGACCCUUGGUUGUCCUCGAAGCUAGUAAUGGGGGUCCGUGAACUACAGGGUGGCCCAAAAGUAGGUUUACAGUUAUUCAACUAUCUCUUUCUCAUUCAUAAAUUAACAGUUUAGAUCUUAAUUAUCAAAAAAAUAUGAAACCAUUAUUCUAUGCUAAUUUAGUUAAUUUUGUUAAGCUCCCCUUUUCAGUUUGUAAGACAGAUAUUUAAAUGUAAUAAGAUGUUUUAAAAGAAAUCUAAAGUGCCUACGUGAUAGCUGUAAACCUACUAUUCAAAAUUUCAUAUAUAUAUAUAUAUAUAUAUAUACAAAUCAUUCAAAUCUGAAGAGUCUACUAGAAUAGAUGCAAGCGUUAAUAUAUGAUUUAUAGAAACAUGUGACAUAUUAAUAAAAAUCUGUAAAUAUAAAACCAUCCAGAUUUCUGAGUACCUUAUUUCUUCUAAUAUAUAUAUAUAUGUAUAUAUACAUAUAUAUAUAUAUAUAUAUAUAUAUAUGUAUAUGUGUGUGUAUAUACAUGUAUAUAUAUAUAUAUGUAUAUAUAUAUAUAUAUAUAUAUAUACAUAUAGUGAGAAUUUACAAAAGAAAAAAGGAAAAAAAGACGAAGAUGGGUGUAUAAACAACAAUAUAAGUACUGGGGUCAAUUUGCUUAGAUAAAACCCUUCAAGGUGUUGCCCCAGCAUGGUCACAGUCCAGUGACUAAAACAAGGGAAAGGUGAAAGACAAAAGACACACACACACACAUGCACACACUCAGAGUCUUAAACUUCAAUAACUGAUAACAUCACCACAUGAUACUAUUCGGCAAUCAGGGAUUCAAAGGGGAUGCGUGCUUGUUCCAUGCCAUGUAAUUUCGGAAAAUAAAAGGAAAUAUAACUUUGCAAUCAAUUCUUUUUGUUCUUGCCACCACCACUACCACCACUACCACCACCACCGCCACCGCUACCACCACCGCUACCACCACCGCUACCACCACCACCACCACCACCACUACGGCUAACACCACCGCUACCACCACCGCUACCACCACCACUACCACCACCACUACCACCACCACCACCACCACCAUCUACCACCACCACCACCACUACCACCACCGCUACCACUACCACCAACACCACCACCACACCACCACCACUACCACCACUGCCACCAUCACCACCAUCCUUUUGUAUUAGAUUGAGUUAAAGCAUUGCUUUUGUCUCCUCUUUAUUCUUAGUAAAUAAUCUCACUUUUAAUAAGUCUUCAACAUGUUUUCAGAUCAAUAUAUCAAUAUUGAUCUUUCUGCCUUUGGAACGUGACCACACAUUCUGAAGUUAGCGACGUGACUUUGAUGCCGCCACAGCAGCCGCAGCCGACAAUAUUUUGCAACCAUCGUCCAAAAUGUCAGUCAAUAAAUAUUCUUGUGUUUUGCCGCUGACAUCUGAAAAGCCGACAUAAUGAGCCAAAUAAGGAAAUUCGCAUGCUUGCCAAACACAUUAAACUUCCUGUUUAUCUGGUUUCUUUUGUGAUUUAAUUCAAUAUUGGAUGGCGUGGCAUCACAGAAACUUGGUAAAAAUUUUCUCUCAGAAGCAAAUUUGAACAUCGACAAAGAGAAUUGUUGAGAAUUAGUUGAAGCUUAUGGUUUUCCAGUCUUGCUAGAAAUAAAGAUAUACGUCUUUAAAAUUUAAAGCAUUUAUUAACAAGGCCUUGAGUCUGUGAUGUUGCCAAGUGUUCAUUCCUGCUCCAAAUAUAUUGUAGCUGGCAGAAUUGUUAGUAUGCCGGGCGAAACGCGUAGCCGUAUUUCAUCUGCCAUUACGCUCUGAGUUCAAAUUCCGCCGAGUUCGACUUUACCUUUCAUCCUUUCGGGGUCGAUAAAUAAAGUACCAGUUUCACAUUGGGGUCGAUGUAAUCAACUUAAUCCGUUUGUCUGUUCUUGUUUGUCCCCUCUGUGUUUAGCCCCUUGUGGGCAGUAAAGAAAUAGGUAUUUCGUCUGCUGUUACGUUCUGAGUUCAAAUUCCGCCGAGGUCGACUUUACCUUUCAUCCUUUCGGGGUCGAUAAAUAAAGUACCAGUUUCGCAUUGGGGUUGAUGUAAUCGACUUAAUCCGUUUGUCUGUUCUUGUUUGUCCCCUCUGUGUUUAACCCCUUGUGGGCAGUAAAGAAAUAUAUAUUGUAGACGGAAUAGGAACAACUGCAGAAUUUUCGUGAGUUAAUUCAAUAUUGGACAGUAACAUGACAUAAAUUUGGUAGAAAUUUUCUCUCAGAAGAAAAUUUGAACAUUGAUAAAGAAAUCUGUUGGGAAUAAGUAGAAAGUUAUUGUGUUGUAGCCUCACUAGAAUUUUUACAGCUAGAAAUAAAAAUGUGUCUUUAAAAUUUAAUGCAUUUGUUUAUAUGGCCUCGAGUUUAAGAUAUUGCCAAGUGUUAAUUCAUGGCCCACUUAUACGCUAUAGGUAGAAUAAAAACAGUUGCAGAAUUUCCAUGAUUUAAUUUAGUAUUUGACUGCAUGGCACCACAUAAUCUUGGUAAGAAUUUUCUCUCAGAAGCAAAUUUGAACAUUGAUAAAAUAAAUUGUUGAGAAUUAGUGGAAUCUUAUGGUUUUCUAACCUCUCUAGAAUUUUUACUACAAGAAAUAAAAAUGUAUGUCUUUAAAAUUCAAUGCAUUUAUUUAUAAGGAAUGUUGCCAAACGUUCAUUCCUGUAUAUGUGGUGUAGGAAUUAACACUCUUAGACUCAAAGCCUUAUAAAUAAAGUGAUGCAAAGUGUCAAUUGCUUGCAGUCCACUGCAAAAACAUGUCUGGUCUGCUUGUUGAUUGAUAAUGUAGCACAUUGUUACAUCACUUGGAAACAAGAAAGGCAUCCAGCCAUAGAAACCCUACCCUGGCAUACUUUCACUUGACCUUUGCAAAUAUGGAAUGGAAAAGUCAACAUUAAAACGAUGGUGGUGACUUACAUAUAUUCUUGAAAGGAUCGGUUUAUUUUCUUGCUGUGCAAAAAAAUGGGAUGGCUCACCAAACACCAGGCCCUCUCCCAGUUGUUUUAUAUGGGUUAAGCACCAGCGUUUAGAGAUUUGUGGUAUGCGAAAAUAUAAAAUUGAAUCUCCAUCAUCAUCAUCAUCAUCACUGUCGGCGUCAUUCUUACCAUCAUUCUCGUCCUCCUCUUCCUCCUCCUCAUCACCAUCAGCAUCAUCAUCAUCAUCAUCAUCAUCAUCAUCACUGUUAAUGUCAGAGCAAAAACAACGAUAAGGAAAUUUCAGAUUUUUUUUCUUUCCUUAUUUUGUUUUCAAGUAUUUCCUCAACCAUCUUCAGAAAAUUUAUUUUCCUCUCAACUUUAUAUAAAUUCAUAUUUGUUUGUUUUUACUCUAAAAUAAAAAUAAAAUAAUUAUGGUCACAGCUCUUGAACUGAAACUAGUUAAAGAGUUAAUUAAAUAAAAACAAACGAAUAAUUAUUCCCUUAUCAAAAUAUUUUACACUAUUAUUAUUUUUCUCGUUUGUUAUAAAAAAAAUUAUCAUAGUAGUUGAAAAUUUGUAUCUUGUUCUUUUUGUAUGUGUGUGUUUCGGUUUCCACAUGUUACAUUACUUAAAAUAGGUACAGGUAUAGCCAUGUGGUGCAGGCAUAGCCAUGUGGUGCAGGCAUAGCCAUGUGGUGCAGGCAUUAGCUCUGUAGCCAUGUGGUUUCUGGUUUUGUUCCAUUGUGUGGAACUUUCGGUAUGUGUCUUCUUUGACUUUUAGCUUUGGACCGACCCUUGCUGGGUGAGAGGAAUUUUGCAGAUGUGCAUAUAACCACAGGUGCUAUCCACAAGUGUGCAUGACCUGUUGACUCAUACCAUGACAAGACACAACUAAGACUGCUUGCUGCACUUUAGUGCAAGCAAUUGCAUAUGUAAAUGCAGUCACACACACACACACACACACAAAUCAUUAUCACCAUCUUAAUGUUCACUUUUCCAUGCUCAUUUGAGUCAGAUGGAAUUUACCAAGGCAGAUUAUCCACAGCUGGAUGCCCUUGCUGUUGCCAACCCUUACCCAUUUCCAUAUAAGAUAAUAUUUCUCCAUGGCCAGACAUGUUUUCACAGAAGAUUGCAAAUGAGCGACACUGCAUGUAUCACAGUGACGUUCAUUUAUGACUAUCACUAGAUGUCAAGACAAGGAGAUGCAAACAUACAUGCAUAUGCACGCACACAACACACACACACAUACAUAUAAGUGUGUGUGGGUGUAUGUGUAUACAUGCAUAUAUAUGCACAUUCAUUUACACACACGCACACACAUACACAUACACACACAUAUAUGACAGGCUUCUGUCAGUUUUCAGCAACCAAACUUAAUCAGUAUGUGUUGACCAGCUGGCAGAAACGUUAGCACGCUGGGCGAAAUGCGUAGCCGUAUUUCGUCUGCCAUUACGUUCUAAGUUCAAAUUCCGCUGAGGUCGACUUUGCCUUUCAUCCUUUCGGGGUCGAUAAAUUAAGUACCAGUUACGCACUGGAGUCGAUGUAAUCGACUUAAUCUGUUUGUCUGUCCUUGUUUGUCCCCUCUGUGUUUAGCCCCUUGUGGGUAGUAAGAAAAAAAAAAAUAGAAAACACCUUUCUUCUACUAUACUAAUUCAAUCCUGAUGUCUUGGGUUCAAUCCCACAACAUAACACCAAGGUGCCGCACAGUGGGACUGAACCACGAACCACAUGCUUGAGAAAUGAACUUCUUAACCACACAGCCAUGGCCACAUACCACAAUUCCAAUCCUAUGGUAGGAGAUUCCUUGCAAUGUUUUGUCUUCGCAGUAGGUUUUUUUUUUGUUUGUUUUCAAAUCAGAGAACUGCUCUUGUUCUCCAAGUUGUCAAACAAAAAUAAAUACCGAUUCUUUGGGGAUUUCAAGCAGCUUGUGAUAUACUGGCAUCAUGGUUAUAACUAGAAUCAUCUGUCAUCUAUUAAUGUCUUUGAUACUUAAGCCACAUGAGACCAAUCCUGGUUCUCUGAUAUGGAAUCAGCCAUUUCUGAAGGAAUCGUGUGUAAAUGAAGAAAAAAAGAAAAGAGAAAGAAAGAAAUCAGCUUCUAUUGUACUUUAAUGCUGGAGACUUUUGUCUUUAGUUGUAUUACAUAUAAUAAUAAUAAUAAUAAUAAAAACAAUAUUAAUCCUUUCUACUAUAGGCACAAGGCCUGAAAUUUUUGGGGAGGGGACUAGUCGAUUACAUUGACACCAGUGUUUCACUGGUUACUUAAUUUAUUAACCCCGAAAGGAUGAAAGGUAAAAUCGACCUUGGCGGAAUUUGAACUCAGAACGUGAAGACAGGCGAAAUGCCUCUAAGGAUGUCACCCGGCAUGCUAACGAUUCUGCCAGCUCUCUGCAUUUUAAUAAUAAUAAUAAAUAAUAAUAAUAAUAAUAAUAAUAAUAAUAAACUUGGUAAUUUUAGGCUGAUUUCUUCCAACUUUCUUGAUCAUUUUCCAAAACUAUGGCAAACACAUCAGCAGUGUUUCUCAUCAGAAAGAAAUAUAAUCAUGAACUAAUUAAUUGAAGGGUUAAUUGGUGACAUUUUAUUAACAUGGAAAUGCUUAACUCCUGGCAGGGUUAUUUUCUUUUUUUCUUUUUUCUUUUUUCUUUUGAUAUUUUCUUUAUUUUGCUCUUAAAUGAUAUUAAUAUAACAUCUGAACAGAAUAUCAAAAUAUUCCACACAUGCACACAUAUAUAUCAUAGGACCUUUCUGAAUUAGGAACCAUCAGUUAAGUAUUAUCCUAUCCGAAAGAAAUUAUCCAUGAAAUCAAUUAAGCAGUAUCAGUUAAUGUAAUUACCAUAAAACCGUGAACCCACAAACAUGUUCCAAAUUAUAAGCAUGAAGGGUAAGUUCACAAUAACGAGACACCAAGAUAGAAAAGAUUUGCAAACAAGCUGAUCAAACAUAGAUCCCCAUCAUCAGCUGCCCAUCUAUUAUUGCUAUGGUGUCGGCACAUGGCUAGUACCAUUCAGCUAUGUGUAUAUAUAUGUGUUUGUGUGUGAGUGUGUGUGUGUGUGUUGGGGUGGGCCAGCCACAAAUACAAAGAUACACAUAAUUAUAGAUAGAUACGUGUGUGUGUAUAUAUAUAUAUAUAUAUAUAUAUAUAUAUAUACACACACAAAUAUAUAUAUACAUAUAUAUUGCAUGCGUGAUUGUGUGGUAAGAAGCUUGCUCCUGACAGCAUGUUUCUGGGUUCAGUCCCACUGUCUGGCACUUUUGCUAUAGCCUCAGGCCAACCAAAGCCAUGUGAGUGGACUUGGCAGGCAGAAACUGGAAGAGGCCCACCGUAUAUUUAUAUAUAUAUAUAUGUGUGUGUAUGUGUGAAUGUCUUUGUGCUUGAUAACUGGUAUUGGUGUGUUUAUAUCCCUGUAAUUUAGCAGUUCAGCAAAAGACACUGAUAGAAUAAGUACCGGACUUAGCAAAAUAUUAAGUCCUGGGACAGAUUCAUUUGACUAAAACUUCUUCAGCAUGGCCACAGUCCAAUAGCUGAAACAGGUGAAAGUAAAAGAUAUAUAAAAAGCUUCCACACAGUUUCCCCUCUACCAAAUACAAGGUCUGGGGUUAUAGUAGAAGACACUUGCUCAUGGUGCCACAUGGUGGAAGUGAACAUGGCUGUAAAGCAAGCUUCCUAAACAUGUGGCCAUAUGUAUGCCUGUCUAUUUAUGUAUUUGUGUUGUUGUUCUUUGCUUUCUAGUCUUUAAAUUUCUGCUUCAUCUUAAAAAAAUGAAAUGGUUCUGGGUGUAUAUACAUACAUACAUGCCUGCAUGUAUACAAAUGCAUAUCAUAUCACAUAUGAAUAUAUAAACACAAGGUCUCCCUCCCACAUCGAGGAAAUGGAAUACUUCUUGAAGAAAUAUAAUGUUUAAAUGUUCUGUAAGGAUAUGGUUUACUAGUUAAAUCACAAUUACAGGUCAUCAUCAUCGUCAUCGUUGCCAUCAUUGUCAUCAUCAUCAUUAUCGUCAUCAUCUUCAUUAUCGUCAUCAUCAUCAUUAUCGUCAUCAUCAUCAUUAUCGUCGUUGUCAUCAUUGUUGUCAUCAUCAUCACCAUCAUCAUCAUCAACAUCAUCAUCAUCGUCAAAAUCAUUAUCAUCAUUAUCGCAAUCAUCUUCAUCACCAUCGUUGUCAUCAUCAUUAUCAUUGUCAUCAUCAUCAUCAUAAUCGUCAUCAUCAUCAUCAUCAUCAUUAUCACUGUUGUCACCAUCGUCAUCAUCAUCAUCGUCAAAAUCAUCAUCAUCACCAUCGUUGCCGUCAUCAUUAUCAUCGUCAUCGUCAUCAUCGUCAUCGUCAUCAUCGUCAUCGUCAUCAUCAUGAUUGUCGGCUGUAAAUGGAAUCAUAAUAGGCCAAGCCAGCAAUGAGGGCAGAAAGAGGAGGAAGAGAGGCGAGACAUUGUGAAAAGCAUGGCAGGUUUUGCGCUGUAGGUCUUUAAGGAAAAAGAUAAACAAACAAAUGCAUUAAAUAACCUAGGAUUGUCAGGAAAGCUGUACAUGCUUAUUACACCCACACUGACAGACACAGAGAGACAUACACGAACAUAUAUAUUAGCACGCGUGUGUACGUGUGUGUGUGGAGGAACACCAGGUGACCUUACUGUUAGUGCUCAUGAAGAAAUGGUUUCAAAUGUACCGCACUUCCUUGAAUUAGAUAACACUUGUCUGAGACAUGGCAAGACAAGCUAGAGCUUGACAAAAAUCGUCUGUUCACUACAUGCUGCGUGUAUGUGUACUCACAUGCACACACACACACACACAUAUACACGGACAUGACAGGCACACAUAUAUACACAUACACACAUAUAUGUAUAGAUAUAUAUGUGUGUGUGUGUGUGUAUAUAUAUAUAUAUAUAUAUAUAUAUAUAUAUACAUAUACAUAUAUAUAUACACACACAUAUAUAUAUAUAUAUAUACAUAUAUAUACAUAUAUAUAUAUGUAGAUGUGUAUAUAUAUAUAUAUAUAUAUAUAUAUAUAUGCCUAUAUAUAUAUUUAUAAAUAAGGAUAAUAUCGAUAUUUAAAUAUCGAUAUUAUCAAGUGGCCAGCAUGGGCCAGAGUCUGGAUUUGACUGCUAUUUCACCAUAGUGGUGUCUCUCAGACACCCUUAUUUUUAGUUGUAAAAAAAUUAUUACCUUUGUAUGGUAUAUAUAUAUAUAUAUAUAUAUAUAUAUAUAUAUAUAUACAUGAAUGUGUGUGUGUGUGUUAAAUAGAAUACACAACAAAGCCCAGGCUGUGUUAAUUUUCAGGACAUUUAUAAAAAGAAAGUUAGUCUUACAGCUGUUUCUGGUAUAUUAGGGAUAUCCCUUCACCAGAGACGAUGUGAGAUGGUUAAAUAGAGGGAAAUAGUAGAGUUCAAUAUAAGGAGUUAUUCUGGAAAAGGAAAGAAAUAAGGAACAUAGAGGGAAAUAGGGGAAUGAAAAUAGAAAUAAAAGUACAUAUGUAUUCGAAACAUGUUGCAAGUAUAAAGAUUUGAAUAACACCUGCGUUUAACUCCAUUUCUUAAUUUAUAUAUGUAUAUAUAUAUGUGUGUAUGUAUGUAUAUAUGUAUGUGUGUAUAUAUAUAUAUAUAUAUAUAUAUAUAUAUAUAUAUAUAUAUAUACAUAUAUAUAUGUGUAUAUAUAUGUGUGUGUAUAUAUAUAUAUAUAUAUAUAUACAUACCUCUAUCAUCAGCUGGAGAUGUAAGCCUCCAAAUUGCCAGAUCACAAUCUAUACUUUUGUAUAAUAUUAUAUAUAUUAGCGAUUUAAUGCUUCUGUGAUUGUGUGUGUGUGUGUGUGUAUUCUUGUCUGUUGCCAUAGAGGUGGAAGCUAAAGUGUCAGGAAGUGGUUUAGUUUGGAUUCCCUGUGGAUCUGGUUUCAAUUCCUUGUGGGACCAUUUUGUUUAUUUUGUUUCACUUGCAUGAAAAGCCAUGUUUUGUGAAAUCAAUUAAGCCUAUAACUUUUAUACUUCCUUCCAUCAUCACCACCACCACCAUCAUCGUCAUCAUCAUCAUUGCCACCACUUUCGUCCUCAUCACUGCCAUCAUCAACAUCAUCAUCAUCAUCAAAUUUGCUCUUCCUUGCUGGUUUUGAUUUUGUUAUUUUUGUUCCGGUACAACAUCUUGCGGCUGAUUGUGGUCAUUUCCAUGGUAUUAGCAAGGGUGAAGAAAGGCGGGGAGCUGGCAGGAACGUUAGCACGUCAGGCGAAAUGCCGUUACGUCGUGAGUUCAAAUUCCGCCGAGGUCGACUUUACCUUUCAUCCUUUCGGGGUCGAUUAAAUUAAGUACCAGUUACGCCCUGGGGUCGAUGUAAUCGACUUAAUACCUAUGUCUGUCCUUGCUUGUCCCCUCUAUGUUUAGCCCCUUGUGGUUAGUAAAGAAAUAGGUAUUAGCAAGGGUGUGAACGCUACACAGAGAGGCCACUUCAAAAGGGUUUGGGUAGGAACAAACAUAUUGAAUGCAUGUUAUGUCUAAGGAAUUAAAGAGGUAAAGGGCAGCCCGUUUAUUUACCACAACCAGGUAACCAAAGCCCACAGUAUGUCACAAAUUCCUUUCUCAUCAAAAACAUAAAACAAAAAAAAAAAAUACACAACAAAGUUGUUCUUUUUCUAUUUUGCAUGAAUUAUAUAUCUUGAAGUUCUUCCUGUUGCCUAAUCACUUUACAGCAUUGGCUGGGUGAAUAUUAUCACACCUCCAACACUGGAGAGGUUGUCUGUCUGAUGCAGGUGUAAAGUGUCCUCCCUUUGUCUUUUUAGUUUUUUGCUGGGGUGACUGUAUUCCCAUAUGCGCUACAUUUAUUGCAGUUUUGAGUGAAUUCAGUCAUUCUCACCUAAAGUUUAAAAAAAGGGGUUGAUUACCUGUUUAAUGGAUAGUAUUGAUUACAAAAUAAUGAAGCCAAACAAGAUGGAUGUUUGCCUUUUGUUUAUAUUUUCAUGCUGCAUAUCACACCUCAGUCGUUGGCAUAAAUUGUUAAUGUAAUAGAAACCAGAGUUAUAUUUGAUGUUUCUGUUUAAACCAUUUUUUAGGAUGAUAUUUGUUAUGAAACACCGUGCCUAUGUAUUUCAGUUAAUGAUGAUGAUGCUGCUGUUGAUGAUGAUGAUGAUGACGACGACGACAACGAUCAUGAUAGUCAUGAUCGCCAUCAUCAUCGUCAUCAUCAUUUAACAUCUGAUUUCUAUGCUGGCAUGGGUUGGAUGAUUCAACAAGAGCUGACAAACCAGAGAGCAAUACCAGGCUCCAGUCAUUUGUUUUGGCGUGGUUUCUACAGCUGGAUGCCCUUCCUAAUGCCAACCACUAAAGAGAGUGGACUGGAUGCUUUUCAUGUGGCACCAGAUGGGCGCUUUGUAUGUGGCACAAGCACGGGUGCUUUUCACUUGACACCAGCACAGUUGCUUUUUAUAAGGCACCGAUGUGAGUGUUUUUACAUGGUAUCAGUACAAGUGACUUUUACAUGGCACCAAUAGGGUUGCUUUUUAAUGGUGCCAGCAUGGGAGCUUUUUAUGUGACACCAACAUGGGUCACCAAAUAAUCAAGAAUUUCUAGGGAUUCAGUAAAAACUGGCUAAAAUUUAACACAGCACAAUUCAUUCUCAAUAGAUUCUGGUAAAUUCAAAUAUGAUGUUGCUGAUUGUUGUUGCUUUUUGUCAUUGGAUAACCUCUGCACUCUUUAGAUGAUGUGUGCUCAUAAUACACAUGAUUCAUUGAUGUAAGAGGGCUUUUUGAGACUCCUUGGUGUUUCAACAUUUUUGUAUGUCUCCUCAGUCAAACUUACCUCCAGAUUAAUCAAACUAACAAGUGUAUUCACUUUUGUUCAUAGAAAUCAUAAAAAAAAUUAUUUGUGAUGCAUGCUGAUGUCUAUAAUAAUGCUGAUGUCUGAUAAUAAUACAUGCAGUGCAAGCAGAACAGUGAAAAGCUGGACAAUAAUGUAUCUUUUCAUUCUCAGUAUUGUUUUACUAUUGGAACAGUUUCUUACAUAAAAGUAUAGCUUUUAACUUUAAAAUUUUUGGCACCAUAUUUCUGUUAAAAUACACAGGUGCAGGAUUCCUUCUACUCCCUAUUAUUAUUGUCUGCCUGAUAGUCACCAUUCUUCUCUUAACACCCAUCUCUUGUACUUUAUUCUGACACCGAGAUUCUGUUGUUCAAGAAAACGGUCUUUAUAUCCUCCUCUUUGGUUACUUUAUUUCCUAUAAUUAGCUUUUUUUAUUGAUUGACAUCUCUUCGAUUCUCAGAAUUCGGUAGUUUGAUUUUGCAGUGUAACCAAUAACCUUCUCCCUCAUUUCUGUUAAAAUACACAGAUAUUAAUUUUGAAAAUAAUAAAGAAUUUAGGAAAAGAAGUUGGUGUUUGGAACAUAAAUCAACAUAUAAUUUUGAUGUGAGGUUUUAAUUUAGGUAACUUUAUUACAAUGAAUUUAUGUCACAGAAGCAAGGGAUAGUCUCAGGGAGGUUGGAAUAAAAAAAGUUAAAAGGCUUCUCAGAUGGCAAGCAGAGGAAACAGAGGGUCUGGUUCAAAUGUUUGCUGUUCUGGAAAAAGCAGAGAAGGAUCCACUUAAUUCCUUCUUAACCCUUUUGUUACUAUAUUGUUGUUGAAAUUCACUGUUUUUGUUUGGAUCCAUUUUGAAAAUAAGGAAGAAUUCAGUAGAAUGACUUUUGGCAUUAUUAAUACAGUGUUUGGGACAUAAAUUAACAAGAAAUUUUUAUGAAAAGUUUUAAUUUCGAUCACUUUAAAACAAGGUGUUUGUCUCAUAGAAUUAUCUUGCAGGGAGAAGGAAAAUCUGAUGAUUUCUGGUGCUUCUUUCACCAGAAAGACAAAGAAAGAAUUUUUACAUUUUUGCCAACACCAACAACCCAGAGUUUUUCUUCAUUUCCAAGGUUUUUGUUCAUUUGAUUUUUAUAUAUAUAUAUAUAUAUAUAUAUAUAUUUUUUUUUUGAUUAUUUUUUUAACCAACUUUCCGUUCUUCCAAAAUUCCCAUGAUAGUCCACUAUUUACUCCCCGUUCCCAAUCAAUAAAAAUGACUGUUCUAGUUUUACCAUCCCGCUGCUACAGACAUAGAUUUAUAAUUUCACAGUUCUGUAAUCGCCAAUAAUCAAUAAUCGUCAGAUUUUGCUCUGAACAUAUUGUUGGAGCAGAACUGGUGUCACUAAUUUGCAUAGUCAUAGAUUCAUAGAAAGAGGAGGACAAAGAAGAGCAGGAGGAGUGGGAGGAGAUGGAAGAGAUGCACACAUUACAGUUGUCCAGUUCCCUGAAGCAGCAACUUAAUCAUUUAUUCUCAAUUAAUAUAUAUAUAUAUAUAUAUAUAUAUAUAUAUAUAUAUAUAUAGAGAGAGAGAGAGAGAGAGAGAGAGAGAGAGAGAGAGUAUGUAUACUUAUGUGUGUAUGAAUAAGUAUGUAUUUAUGUGUCUAUGCAUUUGCAUGCAUGUAUAUACAUAUAUGUGUGUGUGUAUAUAUAUCUAUAUAUAUUGGAAGGUUUGGAGAUGAUGUACAGGUAUUUUAUAUUAGAAGAAAUGAGGUACUCAGAAAUUCGGAUGGUUUUAUAUUUACAGAUAUUUAUUUGUAUAUUACAUGUUUUUAUACAUCAUAUAACUUAGAUCAUAUAUUAGCGCUUUCCCCCAUUCUAGUGGGGUUUUCAAAUCGAACUCUAUCUAUCUAUCUAUCUAUCUAUCUAUCUAUCUAUCUAUCUAUCUAUCUAUCUAUCUAUCUAUAUAUAUAUAUAUAUAUAUAUACACACACAUACACAUAUAUAUAUACACAGUCACAGACACACACAGAUACACACACAUAAUAUAUAAGGUGGCCAGUUCAUAAAAUCAUUAGAGUGUUGGGUAAAUUGCUUUGUAAUUAUCAGUCUGGUUCUCUUUAACCUGAGGUCAACUUUGCCUUUCAUCUUUGAUGAUUCAUGUAUUAAAUACCAGUGCUAUCCUGAGGUUGGCACAUCUCUUUUUCACACCCUGUCUGUCUGAUUCUUUUAUUCUUUUCUUAUCUUGAAGAAAUUGUCAGUGGUCAGACCAAAAGCCUUGUGAAUGGAUUUGAUAGAUGGAAACUGAAAGAAGCCUGUCAUAUAUAUGUGUGUGUUUGGUGUGGUUUGUGUACAUGUGUGUGUUCAUGUUUGCCCAUCAUCACUGUGUGACAACCAGUGUUGGUGAGUUUACAGUCCUGUAACUUAGUGGUUCGGCAAAAAGAGAUUGUUGGAAUAAAUACCUGAUUUUUUUUUAAAAUCAGUACUGUGGGUGAUUCAUUCAGCUAAAGUACUUCAAGGCGGUGUCCCAGCAUGGCCACACACCCAUGACUGAAACAAACAAGUAAAUGACAAAAGGAAGAAGAUAUGUAUAUAUAUGUAUAUACAUAUAUAUAUAUAUAAAUAGAUAGAUAGACAGACAGAUAUGUGUGUGUAUGUAUAUAUGUAUGCAUGUAUGUAUGUAUAUAUAUAUAUGUGUGUGUGUGUGUGUGUAUAUAUAUAUAUAUGUAUGUAUGUAGAUGACUGCAUUUGUACGUUUAUAUAUUUGUAUUUUUUCGUAUAUACACACACGUAUAUAUAUACCCAUGCUAGAUGUCCAACCCAUGCUACCAUGGAAAACGGACGUUAAAUGAUGAUGAUGAUGAUAUAUAUAUGUACAUAUGUAUAUUUGUGUACUCACACACAUGUACACACACUUCAAACCACAGAGCAUAAGCAAUCUGUCUAAACUAUACACCACAAGAACACCUCCAAUAAAUUCCAGAGUAUUUCAAGGUUCAAUACCUCUGUCAAUACUUUACCAAUUCUUCACAAAGAAUUUCCUGAAGUCUCCAAUAACAACACCAUUCCUUCUACUCCCUAUUAUUAUUGUCUGCCUGAUAGUCACCAUUCUUCUCUUAACACCCAUCUCUUAUACUUUAUUCUGACAAUGAGAUUCUAUUGUUCAAGAAAUCAGUCUUUAUAUUCUCCACUUUGGUUACUUUAUUUCCUAUAAUUAGCUUAUUUUAUUGAUUGACAUUUCUUCGAUUCUUAGAAUUCGAUAGUUUGAUUUUGCAUUGUAACCAAUAACCUUCUUCCUCAUUUAACAACUUAUUCCAAGUGCAUUCUGAGUGAUGGCCAUCCAGCAAGAAAAUCCCUUCCAAUUAUGGUCUUUACAUUUCUUCUCAUCGAAAAGGCGAUGAAGUAAUAAACGAUGUCUUCUAGAUGUCCUCUAUAAUUAAUACACGUUAAUUGUUAACUAUCAAAGGCAGGGAAUUGGCACAGAUUAUGAAGUGUAAGCUAGAUGGUUUAAAGCAGUGGUUCCCAAAUUUUUUAGAGUCGCGACCCACUAUUUAUCACACCAGUUUAUGACGACCCACUUAACUCUACUGAAUAUCUCGAUAGACAGCAGUUAAUCAAAGCUAAUGCGUUAUUUUAUAACUUUUUGCGACCCACUAAGAUUCCGUUCGCAACCCAUCUGUGGGUCACGACUCAUAGUUUGAGAACCACUGGUUUACAGUAUUUGUUUAAGGUCACCAGCUGACAGAAUCAUUAGAGCACCGGGUAAAAUGCUUAGUGGCAUUUCAUCCGUCUUUACAUUCUGAGUUCAAAUCCCACCAUGGUGAUAUUAAGUUGUGGACAAAGUAACAUAUGAGGAAAAUCGGAACAACAUCAUACAUCUCUAAAAACCAAAACCUCUGACCUGAAAUAUGUAUGUAUGUAUGUAUGUAUGUAUGUAUGUAUGUAUGUAUGUAUGCAUGUAUGCAUGUAUGCAUGUUUGUAUGUAUGUGUAUGUAUGUAUGUGUGUGUGUGUGUGUGUGUGUGUGUGUGUGUGCAUGGAGAUAGUGAUAGAGAUAGAGAGAGAGUGAUAUUAUAUAUAUAUACAUACUAACAUAAUGUGGAGGUGCAAUGGCCCAGUGGUUAGGGCAGUGGACUCGCAGUCAUAGGAUUGCGGUUCUGAUUCUCAGACCGGGCAUUGUGAGUGUUUAUUGAGAAAAAAAACACAUAAAGCUUCACAAGGCUCCGGCAGGGGGUGGUGGUGAUCCCUACCAUACUGUUUCACCGCAACUUUCUCUCACUCUUUCUUCUUUUGGCCUGCGGGGUGGCAUCAUUGAAGGCUAAAACAAUGCAAAGUGCAUUGUGACCAGCAAUGUGUAGCAACAUUUGAUGGCCUGGUCGGUCACGUGAUCACGUGACUAACAUAACUAGAGGCUCACACAACAUAAAUAGAGUAUGCAAAAGAAACAUUAAAAUGCUUGCUGUCAAAUAAGACAGAAUCUAAUCAAAAAUACCAAAUAGAUGGCACCGAAACAAUUGUGUUGGCACAUCUCAUAAUCCCUCCUCAAAAACCAACUGUACAGGUUAGAAAGAAGUAGAAACAGAAGCAAAAUUUACACUUUUUGUCUUUUUUUUUUUUUUGCUUUUUCUUGAUAUUUUGACCAAACAACGCCCUUGUCAUAGCUGAAGUAAAGCAAAAUGUCAUUCUGACAUAGGCAGAGAGACAAUGUCAAAUACUGGACAGAAAGGGCGUUGUGAUAUUAUGCAGUUAGCUGUUGUUGUAUUAACUAAUUAGUAUCAUGUAAUUGCAACAGUUAGGACUUUCUUGAUGAAUUUUAUUUAGAAGCUGCAUUUUAAUUUUAUCAUAGAAUUACAUGUAAAAAUAUCCGUGUUUUUGCAUUCUUUUUUUAUAUCAAUUUUAUUGUUUCUUUUGUCCUUUGGUUUGUUGUAAUUUUGUGUUGGGUCUGAAAUGCUACACAAAAGGGAUUAUAUCUCAUUCUGAUGAUAAUUUUAUACAUGCAUGCAAAAAUUUAAGCAUGCAUAUGUAAACAUGUAUAAAGUCAGAUAUACGCAGACAUUCAGAUGCAUGCAAAUACAGACACACAUAAACACAUACAAAAGCAGAUGCAAGUAAAUACGCAUGCACGGACAUAUAAGGAAUCACAAGCUAGUACAGACAUGCACAUAUACAAACACAAGCAAAGCAAUACACUCCCACACUAACAUAAACAUAGACACAGAAAUAUAUACAUACACAUAUAAAGAUAUACGAAUACAUAUGGAAAAAGACAUACACGCACACAAAGAUAGCACGUGCAUGGAAAACAUAUACACACUCACACACACAAAUAUACAUGGGCAGACACAGAAAUGUACGUACAUAUAAACAUAAACACACAAACACAUAGAAAAACAAAUGCACACAAACACACAUACAAAUAUGGUAAAACACAUGCAUAUACAACACACAUGGAAAAUACAUUUGCAAAUAUACACACGAUAAACAUACAUUUAAAAAUACACACUCACACACAAAUAUAAUUUACAUACACAUGUAUAAACAUAGCUGCACAAACACAUAGGGAAAAAUUGAUUCAUAUAUAUAUAUAUACAUACACGUAAACACACAUGCUAACGCACACAUGCAUAUAUAGACAUACUCAGAUAGAUACACAAAAACUUGCAUACACACACACAUUGUUUUGCAUACACACAAAAACAAACAAAAAAAUGUUUCCACAAUUCCUGUUCCUGUAGAUGUCCUUCUUCACAUGGAACCAAUCCAUCAUUUUGGCAAAGAACUUGAAUUUCCCAGUUAAAUUCUAACAGCACUGCAUCCCCCCAACACCAACACAACCCAAACUCAUCUGCGCACACAUGCACACCCAGACACACACACACACACACACACACACACAUACACACACACACACACACAGACAUACGCGCAAGCGCAUAAACACACAUACACACAUGCAUACACACAUACAGUCACAUGCACAUACAUGCACUCACACAUACACACACGCAGACAUACAGACAAGCGCAUACACACACGCAUACACACACAUACAGUCACAUACACAUACAUAGACUCACACGCACACACAUACAUGCACACUCACACACACACACAUACAUACAGAAACAAAUUAAUAAAUACACACACAAACACACAUGCACACACAGAUAUACAGAGGUAGGCACACAAACUCAUGCACAUGCACACGCAUACAUGCCACACACACACAAUUUGAUUUCGUAUUCCUUCCCAUCCUCUUCUAUUUAAAGCAGCACUUACCCACCCGCCCAUGCCUACUCCUCAUCACACCAGUUAACCUCUGACUAACACUGAGUCGGCAGAGCUUUCAUUGCAAGGAAUUUGAAAUGAAGUUUUAAUCCAAUAUCAGAAAGGUUUUGCUUUUUUUUUGGGGGGGGGACCAGCUGUCACCAGCUCUGAUAUCACAUGGAACUCAAUAAUGAUAAUAAUAAUAAUAAUAAUAAUAAUAAUGAUAAAAAUAAUGAUGAUCAGGGUGGCAAGAGGGUAUUAGGGAGGGUGGGGUAAUGUAACAGCUUGAAACAUCUCACAACAUGGCAGAGAUAUCUAGAUUUACGUCUGACCCAUCACUAACUGUUGCGGUUCUGUAUUUUGUGCAUGACUGUUGCUGUUAACAAUAUUGUUGUUAUUGUCGAUGUAAGGUGGCAAGCUGGCAGAAACGUUAGCCUACAGGGGGAAAACCUUAGGGGUAUUUCGCCUGCCUUUACGUUCUGAGUCAAAAUUCUGCCGAGGUCAACUUUGCCUUUCAUCCUUUCGGGCUCAAUUAAUUGAGUACCAGUUGCAUUCUGGGGUCGAUCUAAUCGACUGGCCCCACUCCCGCCAAAUUUCGGGUCUUGUGUCUAGAGUAGAAAAGAAUAUUGUUAUUGUUGGUGUUGUUUGUUGUUUAGCCCCAGGUUAGUUCCAGUCAGGAGUAUAUCAUGAUCAAAGACCUGAAAAUAUGUAAUCUUCAUUGGGAUCUUUUCGGUUUGAAUGGUAGUUUUUUCUAGCGGUGUCAUAUGAAAUUGUCACCCAUAAUUAUGACCCUAGUAUCGAUCUAUUGCAUUUCAAUCUGUUUUAGGGUUAGGAUUAGUUAGGGUUAGGGUUUUGGGUGGGGUAUCUUUUUUCUUCACAAAUGUAAAUAAACCCAAUCUGUUUCUUAAACAAGGGACAUAUUCAUACGGCACAGAAUGUUUUUUACCUCAAUAGAGGUCAGUGAUUGGUUGAAAUUGCAGAAAUUGAAGAAAAAAAACAACAAAUAUCUUACAAACUAUAGAAUUUUCUCAAUAAAGCCAAGAGAAAAAGAUGUUUUAUAAACACAUUCUUCCAGUAUACGAAGUUUAAAAUUUUUUAGUUACCUAGAAAUUAUGUUAAAAACUGCCGUUCAAACCGAAAAGAUCCCUUCAUUGUUCAAAUGCUUUUGAUUAUUGGUCUGCUGGAACAGUUGGUUCGGUGUUAAAAUUCAGUGACAUCAAAUAAGAAAUACGAAGAAAAUGUUUGCUGAGGGAAUGCAUUUUUUAUCAUAGAUCUGCAGGGUUAGAGCAGGCCUGGCUCUUAACAGGGGCAAAAUUUCUAUCACAACAUCUUAACCCUUUCGUUACUGUAUUUAUUUUGAGAUGCUUUGUGUUUCUUCCAAUUAUUUUAAAUAUAACAAAGAACUAAGAUUUGGUGGAAGAUUUGAAUUCAAAACUUAUGAAAACAAGACAGUUAGAUUAAAGAGCCAGAGUCGGUUUCAGCCGGGUUGGUAACGAAAGGGUUAAUAUGAACAGGGAUCAAAGAUUAAAGGGUCUCCGAUGUCCUUCUCUCAGUUUUUGUGGGUUUAACUACGUGAAUGCAUCUAGUUUCUGAAUAAGGUCAUCUGCUAAACUAUUUGUAUGUCCAUUGAAUAUCAGAAAUUGCAAAUGGCUGGAUCAUCUUCUUUGUAAACCAUCACCAAAACAUCCCUGUCAUUUACAAAAGUGGAAUCAUCCAUUAUAUAGAGGGAAAGAAUAAACACAAAAAGAUGAUGGUAUUAAAACUAGCGCAACGGUAUUCUUUAUAUUCUUCGUCUCGUAAAAGUUACAGAAUAAGAAAUUCAUAAAUGUAUAUAUACAUACAUACAUACAUACAUACAUAUAUAUAUGUGUAUAUAUAUAUAUAUAUAUAUAUAUAUAUAUAUAUAUAUAUAUCUAUAGAUAUAUUUAUGCACACACACACACACACAUAUAUAUGUAUGUAUGUAAUGUAUAUAUACUUUAUACAUCCAUGAAUGUAUGCGUGUAGAUACAUGACAUAAUAAAUAAACAGAUAUAAAUAAGUAAAUAGUUUUUUAUCAACUAAUUCUUGCAGUCUUUGAUGUUGAAUGAUUCAAACAAGAACCAAUAUGCUUCUUGCUUUUCUUCUUCUUCUUCUUCUUCUUCUUCUUCUUCUUCUUCUUCUUCUUCUUCUUCUUCUUCUUCUUCUUCUUCUUCUUCUUCUUCUUCUUCUUCUUCUUUUCCUUCUCCUCCUCUACCUCCUCCUCCUCCUUGUCUCGGCACCAAUCUCCAGAAUGGGUCUCCUACAUUUUAUUAAGCCAUUAUUACAUCCAGAAAUGUUUGCGUCUGACAAUAGCGGCUGAUACAGGAGAUUCCUUAAUGUCCGACGGAUAUUCCACAACCGGAGAACUAUCCGAUGCUGUAUCUGUUCUCAGUAUCAUUUAAUACCAUGUGUGUCCAUUAUAUAUACAAAAUGUAUAUUUGGCAGACACUAUUAGUUAUAUAUUCAUCUUCUUGUUUGUUUCUUUCUGGUUAAUGUGUGUAUGUAUAUAUAUAUAUAUAUAUUUAUAACAUCAUCAUUGUCAUUGUCGUCAUCAUCAUCAUCAUCAUCAUUUAACGUCCACAUUUCAUGCUGGCAUAAGUUAGAUGGUUUGACUGGGGCUGAUAAGCUGGAGGGCUGCACCAGGUUCCGGUCUGAUUUGGCAUGGUUUCUACGGCCAGAUACCCUUCCCAAUACCAACCACUCCAGGAGUGCAAUGGGUACUUUUAUGUGUCAAUGGCAUGGAUACCAUUUACAUGACAAUGGCAAUGGCCAUAUGGAUGCCAUAAUAUAGGCGCAGGCAUGGCUGUGUGGUAAGAAUCAUGCUUACCAACCACAUGGUUCUGGGUUCGGUUCCAUUGCAUUGCACCUUGGGUGAGUGUCUUCUGCUAUAGUCUCAGGCUGACCAAAGCCUUGUGAGUGGAUUUGAUAGAGUGAAACUGAAAGAAGCCUGUCGUAUAUAUAUAUAUAUAUAUAUAUAUAUAACAUCAAUGGAAAUUGCAGCUGUGAUACCAGUACUGGUGGUAUGUAAGAGAACCAUCCGAACGUGGCUGUUGCCAGUGCUGCCCUGACUGGCCUUGUGCCGGUGGCACGUAAAAAGCACCAUCCGAUUGUGGCCUUUGCCAGCCUCGCCUGGCCCCCGUGCUGGUGGCACAUAAAAAGCACCCACUACACUCAUGGAGUGGUUGGCGUUAGGAAGGGCAUCCAGCCGUAGAAACAUUGCCAGAUCAGACUGGGCCUGGUGCAGCCUUCUGGCUUUCCAGACCCCAGUUGAACCGUCCAACCCAUGCUAGCAUGGAAAGCGGACGCUAAACGAUGAUGAUGAUGAUAUAUAUACAUAUGCACACACACACACACACUCAUAAACACACACAUAAACAUAUGCAAAGAUAUAUAUAUAUAUCUCAGGUGAAAGCAUUGCUGUGUGGUUAA
This 25687-nucleotide long non-coding RNA is filed under the name Octopus vulgaris (common octopus). Lineage: Eukaryota; Metazoa; Mollusca; Cephalopoda; Octopoda; Octopodidae. The record is from RNAcentral.